GCAAUCACGUGGUCUCAAAAUACGAACGUAGUGGCGGUGUGUGGACUGAUUUAAAUUGUCCGUUAUUACUGCGACUACAACCAUGCUGUGCCUACGUGGUCUCAACUGCUUCUGCCACGAUUUGACAUCUACAACUCUGAGGCUUCGCCUUCGCUGAGCUGCACGAAUCUCAUUCUCAGCAGAAGCGUCAGCUGCCGUGAUAAGGUGUUGCUCCACUGUGACACGCCUCAGGACAUUGUCGUGUCCUACUGACGGGUCCUGAGAGGGAGUGGAAGGACUGCGUUGGUGCGCGUCAGAGAACUUACUUGGCAUGAGGUCUCGGUGGUGUGGGCCGCCAACUCCUCACUGCUCCGUUGUAGAGAAGGC
This is a long non-coding RNA of Schistocerca serialis cubense, 366 nucleotides long. RefSeq lists it as uncharacterized. The record is from RefSeq and is a predicted model, not a curated record. Lineage: Eukaryota; Metazoa; Arthropoda; Insecta; Orthoptera; Acrididae. The transcript is spliced from 3 exons.